GAUGAACGCUGGCGGCGUGCCUAAUACAUGCAAGUCGAGCGAACAGACGAGGAGCUUGCUCCUCUGACGUUAGCGGCGGACGGGUGAGUAACACGUGGAUAACCUACCUAUAAGACUGGGAUAACUUCGGGAAACCGGAGCUAAUACCGGAUAAUAUAUUGAACCGCAUGGUUCAAUAGUGAAUGACGGUUUUGCUGUCACUUAUAGAUGGAUCCGCGCCGCAUUAGCUAGUUGGUAAGGUAACGGCUUACCAAGGCAACGAUGCGUAGCCGACCUGAGAGGGUGAUCGGCCACACUGGAACUGAGACACGGUCCAGACUCCUACGGGAGGCAGCAGUAGGGAAUCUUCCGCAAAGGGCGAAAGCUUGACGGAGCAACGCCGCGUGAGUGAUGAAGGUCUUCGGAUCGUAAAACUCUGUUAUUAGGGAAGAACAAAUGUGUAAGUAACUAUGCACGUCUUGACGGUACCUAAUCAGAAAGCCACGGCUAACUACGUG
This 497-nucleotide ribosomal RNA is filed under the name uncultured bacterium. Its description in RNAcentral is "partial 16S ribosomal RNA". It matches the Rfam family "Bacterial small subunit ribosomal RNA", at positions 28 to 507 of the family's 1533-position model. The record is from RNAcentral.